This 80-nucleotide transfer RNA is filed under the name Polygonum delicatulum. Its description in RNAcentral is "partial tRNA-Leu". The record is from RNAcentral. Lineage: Eukaryota; Viridiplantae; Streptophyta; Magnoliopsida; Caryophyllales; Polygonaceae.
CUACUAAGUGAUAACUUUCAAAGUAAGAGGAAAAUCCGUCGACUUUAUAAAUCGUGAGGGUUCAAGUCCCUCUAUCCCCC